AUUGAACGCUGGCGGCAGGCCUAACACAUGCAAGUCGAGCGGAUGAAGGGAGCUUGCUCCUGGAUUCAGCGGCGGACGGGUGAGUAAUGCCUAGGAAUCUGCCUGGUAGUGGGGGCUAACGUCCGGAAACGGGCGCUAAUACCGCAUACGUCCUGAGGGAGAAAGUGGGGGAUCUUCGGACCUCACGCUAUCAGAUGAGCCUAGGUCGGAUUAGCUAGUUGGUGGGGUAAAGGCCUACCAAGGCGACGAUCCGUAACUGGUCUGAGAGGAUGAUCAGUCACACUGGAACUGAGACACGGUCCAGACUCCUACGGGAGGCAGCAGUGGGGAAUAUUGGACAAUGGGCGAAAGCCUGAUCCAGCCAUGCCGCGUGUGUGAAGAAGGUCUUCGGAUUGUAAAGCACUUUUAGUUGGGAAGAAGAGCAGUAAGUUAAUACCUUGCUGUUUUGACGUUACCAACAGAAUAAGCACCGGCUAACUUCGUG
This 484-nucleotide ribosomal RNA is filed under the name uncultured bacterium. RNAcentral's name for it is "partial 16S ribosomal RNA". It matches the Rfam family "Bacterial small subunit ribosomal RNA", at positions 30 to 507 of the family's 1533-position model. The record is from RNAcentral.